RNAcentral lists this ribosomal RNA (164 nucleotides) under uncultured bacterium. RNAcentral describes it as "partial 16S ribosomal RNA". It matches the Rfam family "Bacterial small subunit ribosomal RNA", at positions 355 to 511 of the family's 1533-position model. The record is from RNAcentral.
UAGGGAAUCUUCCACAAUGGACGCAAGUCUGAUGGAGCAACGCCGCGUGAGUGAAGAAGGAUUUCGGCUCGUAAAGCUCUGUUGUUAAAGAAGAACGUGGGUAAGAGUAACUGUUUACCCAGUGACGGUAUUUAACCAGAAAGCCACGGCUAACUACGUGCCGG